UUAAGUCUGAUGUGAAAGCCCCCGGCUCAACCGGGGAGGGUCAUUGGAAACUGGGGAACUUGAGUGCAGAAGAGGAGAGUGGAAUUCCACGUGUAGCGGUGAAAUGCGUAGAGAUGUGGAGGAACACCAGUGGCGAAGGCGACUCUCUGGUCUGUAACUGACGCUGAGGCGCGAAAGCGUGGGGAGCGAACAGGAUUAGAUACCCUGGUAGUCCACGCCGUAAACGAUGAGUGCUAAGUGUUAGAGGGUUUCCGCCCUUUAGUGCUGCAGCAAACGCAUUAAGCACUCCGCCUGGGGAGUACGGUCGCAAGACUGAAACUCAAAGGAAUUGACGGGGGCCCGCACAAGCGGUGGAGCAUGUGGUUUAAUUCGAAGCAACGCGAAGAACCUUACCAGGUCUUGACAUCCUCUGACAACC
Molecule: ribosomal RNA, 418 nt
Filed under: Bacillus licheniformis
Lineage: Bacteria; Bacillati; Bacillota; Bacilli; Caryophanales; Bacillaceae
Description: bacterial SSU rRNA
Rfam family: Bacterial small subunit ribosomal RNA
Source: RNAcentral